This is a long non-coding RNA of Chiroxiphia lanceolata (lance-tailed manakin), 4006 nucleotides long. RefSeq lists it as uncharacterized. The record is from RefSeq and is a predicted model, not a curated record. Lineage: Eukaryota; Metazoa; Chordata; Aves; Passeriformes; Pipridae. The transcript has 15 exons.
AGUCCAGAGGAGCUCUGCGGCUGGAUUCUGACCACGGACUACUUCGUCCCUACUUGCAGAGAAGGGUUAUGCUGACACGGAAGGAGGGACUUGGAGAGGGGAGAUUAACCUUUCGCUGGCCACGAUUCGUUCCCUCUUAUCGCGGAGGAUUCGGCAACCCACCCCCCUCCCACCCAGCCUAUCUUUCUGAAUUGCUGAAAGCAUAAUGCUCCCAUAUGAGAGAUAAUGUUGCUGUAAAAGACAGGAGGAUCUGUCUGCGUGUUUGAGGUGCGGCCUGAUGUCAUCCUUCGGGGCGGUGCCCACAUGGAAACCAAGCAAAACUCUCUGGAGCUUUCCCAAAAAAGUUUCUUCCAAGCAUUAAGGCCGUGAUGUCAGUCAACUUCAGAGAAACAGCAUCAGAUCACCUGAGAAUCAGCAUGCAAGCCUCAGGUUUGAAAGGCACCAGGACACCUGCAAGAGGAGCCCCAGUUGUUCCUCCUCCAUGAUGAGGCUCAUACAGAGGUGCAGCCCCUCAGAUGGUGACAGGGGGACAGCAACCAGUGCCCUCACAGCACUGUCACUGUGUGUGACCAUGUUCAUGAAACAGGGAUGGGAAGUGCUGCCUGGACUGCCCCCAGCAGAAAGCCCCGUGGUGUCCCUUCCCCGCUGGUGCAGAGGCUCCGGGCUGCCACCGCAGAUCAUUUGACAAAUUUCACGGGCUUUUGAUACAGGCACAAAGGUUCACAGCCUGCUCUUGUCUAGUUGGUGAGACCGUCCAGCCCCUCUUGUGUCAUUUGUGGUGGCAUUACAGACUUUGAGAACAAUCUGAAGGACAAACCCCAAGCUGUUUGGAUGCUGCUCAGCCCAAAAUACGAUUUUAUCGUGAGAGAGGCAUCACAAAGACUGAGUACAACAUAAUGGCAAGCCAGAGCUAUUCCGACGUGAGUGUGUUCUCUGCACUGCAAUGCAGGGAUGGAGCUAAGGAUGAGCAAUGGGAGCACUGUCAGGAUUACAGCCAGGAGCAGCCCUGCUGGUCGGAUGGGCAGAUGACGGCACCGACAGAGGCUUCCCAGUGUGACACCCCAAGGCUGCCCCUUCCUGGGGCCAACGUCCUCAUCCCGCAGCUGUUUUCUCAGGCUACAAUAUGUGAGGAAAGCUGAUGCUGCUGUGCUGCUUAACUGGCAAGAAUUUGAAAAGAGGAAGCAAUUCGCAAGUGUAGGUGUACUUUGGUAUUAGUUAAUAUUUAUUUGUUUGUGUUAUUCUGUAUUUAUUCCCUUAUUAGCAGACAGUCCUACCUGGAGACUGAGCUUUCUACCAAUUUCUGAGGUUUGCUCUUCAGAAGUUCUAACACUGGAAGACAUUUUUCAACACGAGCCUGUAACUUAGGAGUGGAAAACAGGAAAAUAUGGAAUCAAAACCCUAUGGAAUUUUUUCCCUUAAGGUGGCAGAGCAGUUUUCGUAUCCCCAAAUAUCCAUGCUUUGCCAAAAUAGUAAUUCAGAUCAGAAAACAGUAGCUAUAUUGCCUGUUUCAGCAGUAGAAACAAUCAUGGGCCUCCACAUGCACACAGAUACAAGCACACACAUCCUAACAGCAGCACUGGGCUUAAAGAAAGACAACUAAGUAAAAAUGAGACUAAUGAGGCAUUUGAAAAAGAAUAUAGAAAUGUUUGGACCCUGAGCAUUAAAGGUGUUUAUUAAGUGCUGCAUACACCUUUCUGAGUAAUGCUUUAAUUGACAUAUUAUUUCUCAGGCAAAAUCCUACUGAAUUAACUUAGUGCCACCAUUUAAACCCCAUUUUCAAUGCUGGUUCUGUGUCACAUUACACUAACAUGGACCUAUAUUCCUGUCUUUGAUCUCAUGGACUAGAUCUGGGUAAUGAAGGAGAUGGAACAGGAAUUCAUGUUCAAGAGGAACAACUGAAGGCCGGCUCUCCUUUGCAGAGGCACUCUGAGAAGCAGAGAAAACAAAGGCCAGUGGCACAGAGAGGACUGUAAGUUAAAGAAUUACUUCCCUCUCUGUUGGGUUUUAAGCCAGGACAAGGAGGUAAGAGUCAUAUGACCAACUUUACAACCACAAGAAUCUCCCAAAAUGGCCCCAAACUUUUGCUAUUCCAGCAGUAGAUCCUCAGGUAGGGAGUCCAUGACUCCCAGUUAAUGGCUUAGUGAGGCAGUGACCAGUUUGGCACUCAAGGGGAAAAGGGAAGACUUGGUGGUGACAGUGCCAGCAGACUCAUUUUUCAAAAGAAGAACUUGUUUUCCAGAAAAAAAAAUAAAGACCUUUGGGUUGAAUGCUGUUUCCACCCUUACUAAUCAGGCCUUGACUAAGAAAAGUCCAAAUAAACUGAUCAUAAAUUAAGUCAUCCCCAUUGUGAGCAUGAACACACGUACCUGGCCAAGGCAGGCAAAAGCAGAUUGAUGAAACAACAAAGUUCACCUUGUUUUCUGAGCUGAAAGCUCACGCUGUUUCUUGGCAGAACAGGCAUGUCAGGCCUGUAAUAACCACUUGCUACCUUGCUUCAAUCAGCAUUGAAAACAGCACAAUAUUAACAUCUUGGGGAAAAUCCAUCUGGAAACUGCUUUCUGGGGUAAAAAAAUGAAAGGGAGAUAACGGAAUACCACACCCCCUGAUUAUUUAUUUGUUGAUUUCACAGUAACUUUAAGGAACUGAAAAUUUCUCUCCCCAUCGCCUGAAAAUUUUGUAUUUCAAACAUUUUCUGUCCAUUCAGCUGAAUUCCUGUUCAGAAAGAAGUGGCAAAGAACAGCCGUUCUUCACCUGAAGGACAACCACUUGUCUGGCAGAGGCAGAGCUCUUCAAAAGUUACCAGAGUGAAGGUUCCUGUUUACAAUGGUGAAGAGUAACUCACGUAAACUCCUAAAGGACCCAUGAGCAUUGGCUGACUAACUAUUUAGCAGAAUGAGAAGAAUAAGCAUCAGGUAACGGGAUACAAGUGGAAAACUCUCUGUGAUGCCCAUGAAACCCCCUCUUUCAAUGCCAGGGUUAUGGGACUGACUGCAGGACUCAUUUUUGCUCAGUGUUGGGUCACCGCAUAUGACAACAACAGUUAAGAAGAAAUUUGGUUGAUGCCUCAUUUCGAGGGGCUCUAGUACUGCCAGCCUCCUGACUCCAGACAUCCCGGACAGAGCAGCUGAUCCUCAGCACGGCAGCAGGGACAAGGUACCCGGAGGCUGUGCAGGUCCCACCCAAGGGAGAAUUAGGUGAGGAUGCUGAGCUUUGCUUUGCUUUGCUCCACCUUCUGAACAGAAAGGUUCUGCUUCUUGGGUGAAUUUUGUUCAGCAGCCCCCAGCCACACCAUGGGAGCAAAAACUUUGAAACCUCCUGGCUGAGGAGCUUGGCACUAAAGCUCCAACCUGUGACCUGGGUCAAGGUUUUAUCAGCCGUCAAGAAACAGCUCUUGUAGUACAUGAAUGGCCAACUCAACUGCUUGGAGAAAGGAGCUGAUUCAGGCUGCCAAUAUUGGCUCUUACACAGAUAAUAAACUAGACUGGCCUUUCUCCUGACAUCACACUUCAAUCAAAAACUUUCUCGCAAAAUGUCACUUUCAAAGUUGCAGCUUUGAAAAAAAAAAAAAAAGAAAAAAAACUCUUUAUAAAAAAUUCAUGGCCACAAUGAUCUGAUAAUGCAGCUUUCUGAUACCAGCAGAUGUUUUGUCUAACAUGUUCCCUGAAGCUGUACUCUGUGCCUUCAUAUCUUUCAUUUCCAGUUGCUAUCUGCUGACUGUGGGAUGUCAUGUACGUACCCUAUAGCGAUGCACAGCAAUUCGCAUCUCACACCGCCGUGCGUAAUGAGCUUCACAAGAUGCUUGUCGCAAUAACUCCGCACUUCCCCAACCAUAUGGAACACAACACUCCAAAGCCCACAGACACUUUUUUUUAUUACAGUUCAGAUCCUUAAAACAUAAUCUGUGUGAUGUCUAGUGAAUGUACGUGAAGAGCUGCUGAAAACAAAGUUAACACUUGUUCACAUCAUCUGUUACAAAUGUCCAAUUUGGGACAAUAAAUUUCCUCGG